RNAcentral lists this unclassified non-coding RNA (406 nucleotides) under soil metagenome. RNAcentral describes it as "partial contains 5.8S ribosomal RNA, internal transcribed spacer 2, and large subunit ribosomal RNA". The stretch from base 1 to 121 matches the Rfam family "5.8S ribosomal RNA", at positions 35 to 154 of the family's 154-position model. The record is from RNAcentral.
GAUGAAGAACGUAGCGAAAUGCGAUAAGUAAUGUGAAUUGCAGAAUUCAGUGAAUCAUCGAAUCUUUGAACGCACCUUGCGCCCUUUGGCCAUUCCGAAGGGCAUGCCUGUUUGAGUAUCAUGAACACCUCAACUCUUCAUGGUUUUCCAUGAUGAGCUUGGACUUUGGGGGUCUUGCUGGCCUGUGGGUCGGCUCCUCUCAAAUGAAUCAGCUUGCCGGUUUUUGGUGGGCAUCACAGGUGUGAUAACUAUCUACGCUUGUGGUUUUCCACCAGGGUAACCUUCAGCAGUGGAGGUUCACUGGAGCUUACAAAUGUCUCUCCUCUGUGAGGACAGCCCUUUGAAUGUUUGAUCUCAAAUCAGGUAGGACUACCCGCUGAACUUAAGCAUAUCAAUAAGCCGAGGA